RNAcentral lists this ribosomal RNA (595 nucleotides) under uncultured Bacteroidota bacterium. Its description in RNAcentral is "bacterial SSU rRNA". It matches the Rfam family "Bacterial small subunit ribosomal RNA", at positions 122 to 715 of the family's 1533-position model. The record is from RNAcentral. Lineage: Bacteria; Pseudomonadati; Bacteroidota.
CAACCUGCCGUCUACUCUUGGACAGCCUUCUGAAAGGAAGAUUAAUACAAGAUGGCAUCAUGAGUCCGCAUGUUCACAUGAUUAAAGGUGUUCCGGUAGACGAUGGGGAUGCGUUCCAUUAGAUAGUAGGCGGGGUAACGGCCCACCUAGUCUUCGAUGGAUAGGGGUUCUGAGAGGAAGGUCCCCCACAUUGGAACUGAGACACGGUCCAAACUCCUACGGGAGGCAGCAGUGAGGAAUAUUGGUCAAUGGGCGAGAGCCUGAACCAGCCAAGUAGCGUGAAGGAUGACUGCCCUACGGGUUGUAAACUUCUUUUAUAAAGGAAUAAAGUCGGGUAUGCAUACCCGUUUGCAUGUACUUUAUGAAUAAGGAUCGGCUAACUCCGUGCCAGCAGCCGCGGUAAUACGGAGGAUCCGAGCGUUAUCCGGAUUUAUUGGGUUUAAAGGGAGCGUAGAUGGAUGUUUAAGUCAGUUGUGAAAGUUUGCGGCUCAACCGUAAAAUUGCAGUUGAUACUGGAUAUCUUGAGUGCAGUUGAGGCAGGCGGAAUUCGUGGUGUAGCGGUGAAAUGCUUAGAUAUCACGAAGAACUCCGAUUG